ACCGGUCCUGUUACGGGACACGUGGAGGACGUCAUCUUUCAGCUGGUCGCAUAUCAGUUUUUUACCUGCUGCCAUGUCUCGGCCAUGUCAAUCUCUGAGUCCUGGUACGUUAUUAAAGACCAUGGCACCAACUACUGCAACCUAUACAACCUUGUCGAAGGAAGUGGGCUCACCCAGGUCAGAGGUUACAAAGAGGUUACCAGUGACUUCAUGUGUACCCAGCGCUCCUCCGCCAACUGCACCGUCUACUAACC
This is a long non-coding RNA of Lampris incognitus (smalleye Pacific opah), 254 nucleotides long. RefSeq lists it as uncharacterized. The record is from RefSeq and is a predicted model, not a curated record. The transcript is spliced from 3 exons. NCBI's taxonomy places the organism in Eukaryota, Metazoa, Chordata, Actinopteri, Lampriformes, Lampridae.